AUACGGAGGGGGUUAGCGUUGUUCGGAAUUACUGGGCGUAAAGCGCACGUAGGCGGACUGGAAAGUUGGGGGUGAAAUCCCGGGGCUCAACCCCGGAACUGCCUCCAAAACUUCCAAUCUAGAGAUCGAGAGAGGUAAGUGGAAUUCCUAGUGUAGAGGUGAAAUUCGUAGAUAUUAGGAGGAACACCAGUGGCGAAGGCGGCUUACUGGCUCGAUUCUGACGCUGAGGUGCGAAAGCGUGGGGAGCAAACAGGAUUAGAAACCCUAGUAGUCC
This 274-nucleotide ribosomal RNA is filed under the name uncultured bacterium. RNAcentral describes it as "partial 16S ribosomal RNA". It matches the Rfam family "Bacterial small subunit ribosomal RNA", at positions 523 to 796 of the family's 1533-position model. The record is from RNAcentral.